Molecule: transfer RNA, 52 nt
Filed under: Acanthogammarus victorii
Lineage: Eukaryota; Metazoa; Arthropoda; Malacostraca; Amphipoda; Acanthogammaridae
Description: tRNA-Val
Source: RNAcentral
AAAGGCGGAAACCAUUUUUAUUUACAAUAAAAAAGACCUAAAGGCGCCUUUA